CUUCCCCGUGUCUCCUCCCGGGCUGCAGUGGACGGGCCUGGUCUACCCCUGUGUCCCCUCGAGAUGUAGUGGACGGGUCUGUCCUCCCAGAGUGCCCUCCUGGGAUGCAGUGGACGGGCCUGGCCUCCGCGGACCAUCUUCAGGAAUCUCUAGUCAACCUCCAGUACCUGAGAGCAGGGAAGAUGAGGAAGAGUGACAGGGUCAGGAUGAGGGGACCUGGGCAGAGGGCUGCCUUUGGUUGCAGCCUCAUAUUGUGCAUAUGAAGUGUUAUGAAGGAAAGCCUGUUCUCAGGCUGUUUCCUGCUCCCAGAAAUUUAUUUUAAAUAGGAAAUGCAGAAACUGGCAUUUAGUUCACCACCAGCCUGAGACUACAUAAUGAAUUCCAGGUACGUGAAGAAAGGAUGAGAGGAAGAAAACCAUUCCCGAGAUGAACUAGCUCCCUCCACCAUUGUAGCUGUUACUCUGGGAAUACAAACUCUGCUCUCAAACCCCGGGGCUGUGGCGGAGCACAAGCCUCCUGCCAGCCGUGAGCUCGCCCAUGGUCCUCAGCACCUCUGCCACGCACAUCCGGAGCUAGAACCAACACUGGGCCAUUGCUGCUUAUGAAAGAAGCUCUUAGGAAACACGCCAGAGGAAGAGGGGCAUGAAUCGCUGAAAAAGCAAUGGCAUGCUCAGCCUGUGCCACUGGACCACAGGUGUCCCAGGAUAACUAUGGACACAGCUCAGCACAUUUAUGGAUUACAUCUUGUUGCAAUAUGAAAAGGCUGGACACCUUUGAAUAUCUUGAUGGAUGCUUGUUUCUUUCCCCAUUUUGGCUGUUGACAUGGAGAACUCAAGCUGGAACUGAGCUGGAAGCUUCCUCCCUGCUGGCCAGCUUCAUGGUACCAGAGGGACUGUGCAGGCUGCUAGAGGUGGAAGUCAGCCACAGUCUUCCUCAGCUGUGGGCCCUGCACGUGGCAACACUGACCUGCCAGGCAAGAUGUGCCCACUGGCGUGAUAGUGGCAGGACUGUUAUGAGGUAACCAACUGCUUUCUGUUGCAUGCCUGGCCCCAAGCGGGGCAUUUAUGCCACUCCCUCCGAGGCUCAGGGAGCAUCGCAGAAGAGGGGUUGGAAAGAACGGAGGGUGGGGAGGAGUGUUGCAAAACCCUGUCUUCUGAACACACCCUGGACAUGGUACUUAUGACCAUACAGCAGCUCUGUUUGCCAGCACAGUGUCUGCACAACAUUGGGUGUGUCAGCUGUCCACUAUGGAUGGUGAAAGAGGUCAUGAUGCCUCACCCCUUCCUGAGGAGUUGUCAGUAAGUGGUUGGUGGGGGAGAAGUAAUUUUCUCUGGUGGUGUAGCCACUAGUAAACUGUCCAAACUUCAGUAAAUAACCCCUGACCCACACUUAUACAAGUAACCCUAAUUAAACUCUCUGUGUCAUAACACACACACAUAAACAUGAAAGUAGGAUAUGAGUUGGGAAGAAGAAAGGUUCAGUAGGAGGGAAAUAAGCUGGUAAUGCAGGGUGAAUAUGGUCCACAUAUAUGACACGCAUGUAUGAAAUAGGCUGGGGAAUGGCUGAGUGGAUACAGGACUCAGCACUGAACCUGGAGUACCUGAGUUUCAGUCCCCAGACCCCAUGAAGAAAGCCAUAGCUGCCAAGGUCUUCUGUAAUCCCAGUAGUGAGAUGGGAUGCAGAUGUAGGAGAAUUUUCCAGAAGUUCAGAGGAAGUGCAGCAAAGAAUAGCAGAGUGAGAAGCCACAGCAAGAAACCCUGCCUCAAAUGAGGUAGAAAGUCAGAGGACCUACUCGAAGGUUAUCAUCUGACUUCCAAAUGUAUGCUGUAGCAUUCACAAGUACUCAUGCACACACAGGAAUAUGCACACACAUGUAAACACACAAAUAAUUUUUAAUUCAAGCCAGGCAUGGUGGCGCAUGCCUUUAAUCCAAGCACUCUGGAGGGUAGGAGAAUCAUGGUGAUUUCAAGGUACCCUAAGACUACAGAGUGAAUUCCAGGUCCGCUGAGCAGAAAUUGAGAUGUUGGCUCACAUCUGUAAUCUCAUCAUGAGGGAGGUUGUGGCAGAAGUGUUGUCUUGAAUCCAAGGCCAGCCUGGGCUACAAAAUAUAAUCCUCUCUGAAGACAUCAAGCAACAACAGCGUCAAUUGUACCAGGCAGUGACAACUGUCACCACACCAUCUGUCACAUCGUCCAAACAGGAAAAUUCCAGGCAUCUCAGGUACUGAUCAUUCUUACGUCCAUUUUCAGUAUAUUCUCUAAACGUCUCCGGAUGCUUCCUGCGUGAGUUUAUCACUUUGUGCAUUUUCACUGACUGAAGAAAUACCAUUGGCAGAGACAGAAACUGGUCUUGACAGUCCUGGCAAGCCAUAGGAUACAGCAUUGGAUGUGUUCCUUAGAGAUCCCUGUCUAUCAAUGGGCUGGCUGUAAAUACUCUCACAGAAAACUGUGAUCUUCUGUAAAGACCAUUCAAAGACAUCCAAGGUCUUCAGAAGCUUGCUAUGCAAAGUGAUCGGGUCUUGUUGCAACUGCAAGGAAAUGGUCCAGAGGACCACUGAGUGCUCAAGAGGACGGCUGCUCUCUUCCCAUGUGGUUUCCCCAGCAUCAGGGUUCUCAUGCUGCCACCCACACGCGGAUUGUCUGUCACAAGACACAAGCCUAUCCAGGUGUGACCAUGAAAGUGCACGUGGUGCCUUCACCCCCUGCCAGCUUCCCCUCCCCCGCCAUCUCUGCAUGUCUGCAUUUCGUCGUGAGUAGCUUCAAGAUUGCUGUUAGGAAUUUCUUCAUCUCCUCUGACAAGGCGAUCCAAGUUGUUGUGGAUAUGGAACUGCAUUUCUAUCAACUGGGUAGGACCCAGUGACGUAAUUUG
Jaculus jaculus (lesser Egyptian jerboa) is the source of this 2868-nucleotide long non-coding RNA. RefSeq lists it as uncharacterized. NCBI's taxonomy places the organism in Eukaryota, Metazoa, Chordata, Mammalia, Rodentia, Dipodidae. The record is from RefSeq and is a predicted model, not a curated record. The transcript has 5 exons.